GAGAACAUUUCCUAGUGGAAAAGAGUGAUAGUUCAUUGUGAACUUUUAUUACAGCUUGGUUUGGACCAGGAGCUUUUUUGAGAACGUUCCCUGGUGGACGAGGGUGAUAGUUCAUUGAGAACUUUUAUCACCACUCAGUUUUGGACUAGGAGUUCACGGAGAAAAAUUUUUAGUGGACGAGAACAACAUUUCGUUGAGAACUUUUAUCACCGCCUGGUUUUAGAUUAGGAGUUCAUGGAGAAUAUUCCUUAGUGGAUGAGAGUGAC
This 266-nucleotide long non-coding RNA is filed under the name Vigna radiata. RNAcentral describes it as "long non-coding RNA (VRAD_LNC013896)". The record is from RNAcentral. Lineage: Eukaryota; Viridiplantae; Streptophyta; Magnoliopsida; Fabales; Fabaceae.